Molecule: ribosomal RNA, 805 nt
Filed under: Vibrio parahaemolyticus
Lineage: Bacteria; Pseudomonadati; Pseudomonadota; Gammaproteobacteria; Vibrionales; Vibrionaceae
Description: partial 23S ribosomal RNA
Rfam family: Bacterial large subunit ribosomal RNA
Source: RNAcentral
UAGGUGGGAGGCUUUGAAGCACGUACGCCAGUAUGUGUGGAGCCGUCCUUGAAAUACCACCCUUGUAGUGUUGAUGUUCUAACGUCGACCCCUUAUCGGGGUUGCGGACAGUGCCUGGUGGGUAGUUUGACUGGGGCGGUCUCCUCCCAAAGAGUAACGGAGGAGCACGAAGGUGGGCUAAUCACGGUUGGACAUCGUGAGGUUAGUGCAAUGGCAUAAGCCCGCUUGACUGCGAGAAUGACAAUUCGAGCAGGUGCGAAAGCAGGUCAUAGUGAUCCGGUGGUUCUGAAUGGAAGGGCCAUCGCUCAACGGAUAAAAGGUACUCCGGGGAUAACAGGCUGAUACCGCCCAAGAGUUCAUAUCGACGGCGGUGUUUGGCACCUCGAUGUCGGCUCAUCACAUCCUGGGGCUGAAGUCGGUCCCAAGGGUAUGGCUGUUCGCCAUUUAAAGUGGUACGCGAGCUGGGUUUAGAACGUCGUGAGACAGUUCGGUCCCUAUCUGCCGUGGGCGUUGGAAGAUUGAAGGGGGCUGCUCCUAGUACGAGAGGACCGGAGUGGACGAACCUCUGGUGUUCGGGUUGUGUCGCCAGACGCAUUGCCCGGUAGCUAAGUUCGGAAUCGAUAACCGCUGAAAGCAUCUAAGCGGGAAGCGAGCCCUGAGAUGAGUCUUCCCUGAUACUUUAAGUAUCCUAAAGGGUUGUCGGAGACUACGACGUUGAUAGGUCAGGUGUGUAAGUGCUGUGAGGCAUUGAGCUAACUGAUACUAAUUGCCCGUGAGGCUUAACCAUACAACACCCAAGGGGUUU